AUUGAACGCUGGCGGCAGGCCUAACACAUGCAAGUCGAACGAGUGGCGGACGGGUGAGUAAUGUCUGGGAAACUGCCUGAUGGAGGGGGAUAACUACUGGAAACGGUAGCUCAUACCGCAUACCAUCGGAUGUGCCCAGAUGGGAUUAGCUCGUAGGUGGGGUAAAGGCUCACCUAGGCGACGAUCCCUCGCUGGUCUGAGAGGAUGACCAGACAAACUGGACUGGCGAAAGGGGCCAGACUCCUACGGGAGGCAGCAGUGGGGAAGAUUGCACAAGGGGCGCAAGCCUGAUGCAGCCAUGCAGCGUGUAUGAAGAAGGCCUGCGGGUUGUAAAGUACUGUCAGCGGGGAGGCGUUACCCGCAGAAGAAGCACCGGCUAACUCCGUGCCAGCAGCCGCGGUAAUAC
RNAcentral lists this ribosomal RNA (406 nucleotides) under uncultured bacterium. RNAcentral's name for it is "partial 16S ribosomal RNA". It matches the Rfam family "Bacterial small subunit ribosomal RNA", at positions 29 to 526 of the family's 1533-position model. The record is from RNAcentral.